This 415-nucleotide long non-coding RNA is filed under the name Daucus carota (carrot). RNAcentral describes it as "long non-coding RNA (DCAR_LNC007139)". Lineage: Eukaryota; Viridiplantae; Streptophyta; Magnoliopsida; Apiales; Apiaceae. The record is from RNAcentral.
AGAAUGAAGCUACUCAGAGAUGGUCUGAUAUGAUGAAGAGGACUAUUAGUGAGAAAAGAAGAUUCUAUGGUAUAAAGUCUGAUGAAGAAUAUGUUCCAAAAAUAGCUCAAGAUGAUGGUUCUGAAAUAUGUAUGGAGAAGAAUAGCUCUGUAAUGGAGACUAUUGCAAACACCAGAAUCUUGGGUUAUAAUAAUGAUGCAGACAGACCUAGAGUGAUUCAGCUGGGAGAUGCAAUGCAAAUAAGCAAGGUGAAUGCCUUGAGAGCAGCUAUCUAUCAGACUGUGGAUGAAACUGAAGAACUCAGAAAUGUUAAAGCCUAGAUGAUACAGAUUUUAAAGCUGAAGGAACAAAAUCUGAUCAACCAGAUUGUCAAAGAAAGUUUUGGAUAUAGGUUGAUUUGAUAGAUAGUUCUGCU